GAUGAACGCUGGCGGCGUGCCUAAUACAUGCAAGUCGAGCGAACGGACGAGAAGCUUGCUUUUCUGAUGUUGGCGGCGGACGGGUGAGUAACACGUGGAUAACCCACCUAUAAGACUGGGAUAACUUCGGGAAACCGGAGCUAAUACCGGAUAAUAUUUUGAACCGCAUGGUUCAAAAGUGAAAGACGGUCUUGCUGUCACUUAUAGAUGGAUCCGCGCUGCAUUAGCUAGUUGGUAAGGUAACGGCUUACCAAGGCAACGAUGCAUAGCCGACCUGAGAGGGUGAUCGGCCACACUGGAACUGAGACACGGUCCAGACUCCUACGGGAGGCAGCAGUAGGGAAUCUUCCGCAAUGGGCGAAAGCCUGACGGAGCAACGCCGCGUGAGUGAUGAAGGUCUUCGGAUCGUAAAACUCUGUUAUUAGGGAAGAACAUAUGUGUAAGUAACUGUGCACAUCUUGACGGUACCCAAUCAGAAAGCCACGGCUAACUACGUG
RNAcentral lists this ribosomal RNA (497 nucleotides) under uncultured bacterium. RNAcentral's name for it is "partial 16S ribosomal RNA". It matches the Rfam family "Bacterial small subunit ribosomal RNA", at positions 28 to 507 of the family's 1533-position model. The record is from RNAcentral.